Molecule: long non-coding RNA, 256 nt
Organism: Carassius carassius (crucian carp)
Lineage: Eukaryota; Metazoa; Chordata; Actinopteri; Cypriniformes; Cyprinidae
Exons: 3
Source: RefSeq, a predicted model, not a curated record
UACUGUGAUUUCAGGAGUGUCUUAAAAACCCUCUAAAACAGAGGGGAAGUUCCAAGAGAAUUUCUAAUGGGAGCUGCUGACAGAGAUAGAAAACACAGUUUGUUUAUUUCUAAUAAGGAGCUGGAGGCUGUGGAGAAGCAGAUCCGUGACCUCGUGGAGAAGCAGGCCCAGCAGAGAGUGGAGAGCUGUGCUGGAAACAUUCAGGGGUUGACGCUCAUAAGUCCAGGCGUAAGACAUGAACCAGGACCUGGGCGAU